CACUUCCAACCUUAAGAUGCCCCCUAACAAGAAAUUGAGAAAGGAAGUGAAACAUCUCCGACAUUGUUUAAGGCUACACUACCUACAUCUUUAUGAUUACGCGUUCAUUUUUUGCCCAAAAGAAAUUUAAAAGGAAGGUUCAAUAUUGAUAAUAACCCUACUAAAAGCAAAGCAAAGCAAUCCAUCAUCAGGAACACAAAAUGUCAACAAAAUAGAACUAAAAAUAAGAAAUUAAGACGAGACUAAUUAAAAUUAAAUACAUUCUCAACAAGGCAAACAGGAACAACAAACAGAACAAAUACAGAUACGAAAACAACAACCAUACACCAAACAACAAAUACAUCAAAAGCAAAAAGAAGAGAACAACAAACCCGACAAACCCAACAAGAACAAGAACAAGAACAAG
This 406-nucleotide unclassified non-coding RNA is filed under the name Hevea brasiliensis (rubber tree). The record is from RNAcentral. Lineage: Eukaryota; Viridiplantae; Streptophyta; Magnoliopsida; Malpighiales; Euphorbiaceae.